CGAAUGAACUAGCCCUGAAAAUGGAUGGCGCUUAAGCGUAUUACCCAUACCUCGCCGCCAGGGUAGAAACGAUGCCCUGGCGAGUAGGCAGGCGUGGAGGUCAGUGACGAAGCCUUGGGGGUGACCCCGGGUAGAACGGCCUCUAGUGCAGAUCUUGGUGGUAGUAGCAAAUACUCAAAUGAGAACUUUGAGGACUGAAGUGGGGAAAGGUUCCGUGUGAACAGCAGUUGGACACGGGUUAGUCGAUCCUAAGCCAUAGGGAAACUCCGUUUUAAAGUGCGCUCUCGGGCGCCGCCUGGCGAAAGGGAAACCGGUUAAUAUUCCGGUACCUCGAUGUGGAUUAUCCGCGGCAACGCAACUGAAGGUGGAGACGUCGGCGGGGGCCCCGGGAAGAGUU
This 397-nucleotide ribosomal RNA is filed under the name Ochromonas sp. CCMP1393. RNAcentral describes it as "partial Eukaryotic large subunit ribosomal RNA". It matches the Rfam family "Eukaryotic large subunit ribosomal RNA", at positions 1298 to 1691 of the family's 3401-position model. Lineage: Eukaryota; Chrysophyceae; Chromulinales; Chromulinaceae. The record is from RNAcentral.